This 4588-nucleotide unclassified non-coding RNA is filed under the name Leptinotarsa decemlineata (Colorado potato beetle). Its description in RNAcentral is "ras-related protein Rab6, transcript variant X1". Lineage: Eukaryota; Metazoa; Arthropoda; Insecta; Coleoptera; Chrysomelidae. The record is from RNAcentral.
AUUAACAACAGUGGAUUUUGGGGAUGAUUUGAUUUACGUUCAUGGGUUGGUGAUUGCGUGUCAAAUUUGACGUGAACGUAAAAAAUAUUGGAUUGAAAAAAUGAAAUAUUAAACUAAAAUUAAUCGUAUAUGAGCAUAUAUCUGGACCUUUUUGAGCCGUAUUGAACGUUUUUGCAUUGAAGUAUUCAUUGACUCAUUAAAUGCCAUUAAAAAAUGUGAUGAACAGAUACUCCCAGGAUAUUAAGGCCAUUGUCUGAAUAUUAAGCAGAUCAAACAAGAAAGCUAAAUUCACAUUGUGAUUAGGGAGUUCAGGAGAUUUUUGCUCAGACUGACGUGCAUGCAAUAUUUUCAUCGAAAACUAAUUAUAUUUAGAAAAAUCGUCUUUUGAAGGAACUACAAAAGUUAAUCUAUAAAAAAUGUCAACAUCUGGAGAUUUCGGCAAUCCUCUUAGGAAGUUUAAAUUAGUAUUUCUAGGAGAACAAAGCGUAGGCAAAACGUCUCUAAUAACCAGAUUCAUGUAUGACAGCUUCGAUAAUACUUACCAAGCAACUAUAGGUAUUGAUUUUUUAUCGAAGACAAUGUAUCUUGAAGACAGAACGGUUAGAUUGCAGCUCUGGGAUACUGCAGGACAGGAACGUUUCAGGUCCCUCAUACCUUCUUACAUUCGGGACUCCACUGUUGCUGUGGUAGUCUAUGAUAUCACUAAUGCCAAUUCCUUUCACCAGACAUCCAAGUGGAUUGAUGACGUGAGAACUGAGAGAGGCAGCGAUGUGAUAAUAAUGCUGGUUGGAAACAAAACUGACUUGUCCGAUAAACGACAAGUUAGUACGGAAGAAGGUGAGAGGAAAGCUAAAGAACUGAAUGUAAUGUUUAUUGAAACUAGCGCGAAAGCUGGAUAUAAUGUGAAGCAGCUAUUCAGAAGAGUUGCGGCCGCUUUGCCUGGUAUGGAUUCUACAGAAAAUAAACCACCAGAAGAUAUGCAAGAAGUCGUCUUGAAAGACACACCGAAUGAGCUCAAAGAUCCAGAUGGAGGCUGUGCGUGUUGAUCAAAUUAUACAAUGUUAUCUGUUUCUGUGCUUGAUCAGCAUAGAUACCGACUUCGUAAAGGUACUGGCUUGAUUUAUUGAAGAAUGGAACUCUGUAGCUCUUGAACUGUUAUCUCCCUUUUUGUUAAUUUUGCUUUGUUGUAACUCAUUCUAUUUGGAUUUCAGUUUAGAGAAUGAGACAUCCAUAAUUUAGAGAUGGUAUCUAGGUAGGGUUUUCUACUGUGACAAUAAUAACAUAGACUAGCCUCACAUUUGAAAUAAUACUUGAUUCUAAUAGUCAAAUAUUGGAUAAUAUAAUUUAACGCUAAUUCUGAAAGAAUAUGUCCAUUCUUGGAAACUGAUAGUAGAACAUAAUCAAUUUUUUAGGUGAUGUUCAUCAAAUAAAAAGUUUUGAGCUAUAGAAUGUUUCAUAAUCUGCUUUUCUGUUUUUCAAACAAUUUAAAAAUUGUGAAAUGCAUAUUACCGAUCUCAAUUGAUUUCAAAACGUAAUUUAUAUUUCUUUUGCCAUCUUGCAUUUGUUCUUGGUUUAUAUGAGGUAAGAUAUAUUUUUAUUUCAUGUCGAGUGAAUUCAAUACUCGCUUUGAUAUUAUUCAUGAAUUAGUGAAUCUUUCCAAAAAAUGUAUUCUCCAUAUAAUUUUAAAAAUAUUCCAGCUAUGCAAUUUUAAUUACCUUUUCACUUCUAGACCUAAGGUGUAAAAUUAUUCAUUUUUGAGUUUAAUUUUUCUAAUUCGUUUUGAAAAUAAUGAAACUUUAAAAAUCAACAAUAUAUUUAUGCAUUUUGCAUUUUUUGAUAAUGAACUGUGGGUAUGAUAUAACCAAUAUUUGAAAGUCGGCAUCUAUGUUUCAUUAUUUUCUAGAUUAUUUAAAUAACUUUUUGCCUCUACAAGUUAUGUAAAUUAUAUAAUUUCGUAUUAAUAGUUCUAUAAGUCUAUAUAAUUUUUAUCUUCUAAUUUUUUUGCGUUAUAUGAAUCAGAACCGCUUACUGAAGGUGUUAAGAAAAAAAUGUGUACACUAUCAACUUGAGUAUUGUGCAGGAAAAGACCUUUUUUAUGUUUAACCUAAACUUAGAUUAAUCAUUCUAAUAAAAUAUAGAUUUUGUUAACAGCUUUCAGAAAUGUAUUAUAUAUAAUCCUGAAAGUUGGCAGCAUUGAUGUUUGUUGUUUGCAAUUUUUAUCAGGCUUCACAAGACUUAACAGCAGUCCGUAUAUUGGGAGUUUAUAUUAUCAUAAAAAAAAUUGUUUUUUCAUAUACCUUUUGAAAAAUAAUAUUUUCAGAGUGACUGUGAUAAUCCCAUUAUUGAAAAUUUUUUGAAUUAAAAUCAAUAACUGAACACAAAUCACCAAGUGAUGUGCAAUUUUCAUUUUCAGAGAAAGUAUCUUUUCCUUCACAAGAAUUUCACUGCUUGUGUAGUGCAAAAGAAAGAUUACCAAAAUACUGUAUGCUUAAUAUAGGCCAAUAUUAUUGUGCUUGAUCAUCUAUGUUGACACAAUGGUGUUUUAUAAAGCAAUAUUUUUUUAGUUGGUGGCAUACAGGUUUGUGAAAUAUUAACAUUGCAGGAAUUAUAAGCUGUCUUCUCUUUAGUAUUUAAACAUUUCAAAUGAUUGAGUUUACUACUACUUGUAUUAAACGCUAGAGUUGUUUCAAUAAUUCCUAAUAUAUUAAACACUAAACAGGUGAAAUCACUUAUUUUUAUUCAAUUCUAAAUAUAUUAUUUUUUGAGAUUCAUACAUUUUUUCCAGAACAGAUGAUCGGAUUUAUCACUUAUGACUAAACUUACUGAAAGAAAACAAAUAAAAAAUUUAGUAAAGAUACAAAUCAGUUGGAAAUUGGGAAUGCAAUAUAAAAAAGUUUUGAUAUAUCAAAAUAAUCAUAUUGAAUUAUUAAAAAAUAUAUCAAAAACUUCCUGGAAUAUGAACAAUGAUAACUAUAAAAUAGAAACAGUAUUACACAACAAAUCUACAUUCACCACAAAUCUACAUUUAGUAGUACUUAAAGUACAUAUUUCAAUUACACUCAAACAAUUGGCAUUGGAGUUCCUGCUGAAUGUGAUGUAUGAACAAAAAAACUUUACCACCACUUUUAUUUUACCAAAGAUGAAGGUAACCUAGUCAUUGUACCCACCUUGUAAAACAAUCGUUAAGCGGGAAGACGCCGACUGGAGAGCAAAUGCAAUGAGCUCUACAUGAGAGUGGUCCAUUGCUGUUCCCAACUUGGACUCCGAGUACUAUUAAAUGAACUCUAGACUAGACAGACUAGUUUAAAUGUAUGAUCACUCCACAACAAAAGUCAUUCUAGGGGAUUUGAGUUGGAGUAUACAUAUUGUUUUUCGACAAGGAGAUAAUUUCAGAUCUGGAAGGCCUGUCGGCUGAGUUCACAGUUGGAUUUGAAUGAAGAAAGUGGUGAAUUCAAAAGAACAGUAUCCAUUCUGUCUGAAACAGGAUACUAUCUGACUGGGUUGAUGAGGCAGGUUCUUGACCUCAUGUUUGAACAAUUUUUCCCAGUUUUUGGAAUUCAUAUAUUUUUUCUAGAACUAUCGAUCAGGCUUAUUACUAAUGUCCAAACCUACUCAAGAAAAACACAAAAAUUCAGUAAAGAUACAAAUCAAUUCAAAAAUCUAGAAUAUGAACAGUAAUAACAUUUAUUUACUAAACUUUGCUUCAACAAUUAGUUCUGUUCAAAAAUUUUGGAGUAUAAUUAGCGAAUUAAUGGAGAUAUGAUCUCAACCAUGUGUUUUUGGCUUCUUGUAUAUGAUAUUUUCAUUCCAUUUACUGAAGACUAAAGCAAUUUACAAGAGUCCAACUUGUUCUUUUCAAAUUGAUUUUACCUCCCUAAUUAGAAAAAAAAUAAUUUCGUAAUGUUAAUUACCGAUUCCGAAAAUGCCAUGAUUAUAAUUUAAUUUUUUAAUUGAUGAAGAAACACUGGCAGAUCUUUUAAAAGGGUAUGGUAGUAACAAAAUGGCGAGAGCUUCUUUUUGUUGCUUGAUGUAAUCAGGUGCAAAAUUUCAAAAUUAUGAAAGUUAUCAUUUGCCUUUAUAACGACAAGCUUGUUAUUUAUAUCAUUACUGAAAACUACGCUAGUCAUUUUGCACCUGAAUGUGUGUAUGUGGUCAUUAAGAUUCUGGAAAUGGGCUUACAAAAUUGACCUGCGAAUUGUGUGGUGAAGUAACUCUUGUUUUAUAUCAGACCUGCAAAUCUGGAUAAGGAGCACCACUGUCUUGAUACAUAUUUUCAACAGUUCACUGGGUUGAAAAAUAAACAUUUGUUUAUUGAACUUUUUUUUACUUGUGAUAAUUUUACAGUAUUCUAAACACUAAAAAAAUUGUAUUGCGGCAAAUUAUAUAUUGUAUGAUUGAACUUUGAAAUUCAUUAUUUAUUUGCCUGGAGUAGACUGAAAAACAGUUACAGGUCUUUGUCACUCAGGUCACUUGGUAUAUUGGUACGUCAUGAACAUGUUUCUUUUAUGACUACAGAUGCACAAGGGACACUCUCGCACUAACUGAAUAUGUGACUUAAAUGUUAACGAAAAUAAAAUUUAUAAAAAUA